UGCUUUGGCCCAUGGAAUGGGCAGAAAUGAAAGUGUGAUCGUUCUGUGUCUGGGCUUGAAGAGGUCCAAUGAAGUUUCUGCUUCGCCUCUUAUUAUGCUUCCUUCCGGUAGCCUCUUCAGCUGGGGCCCCAGAACCAACACAGGUGGAAAAGAGCUAGCCCCGCCGAUCUGCAGACCAGCAGUGAGAAGCAGCACUGACCCAGCCGGCAGAGCAUUCGAGUACAGCUGUACCGGCCAUCCUGCGAGAAUCGGUGUUCCAGUCCGCUGAGUUUGGGGAUGGUUUAUCAGUUAGCAUUGUUGUAGCGAAGGAUAACCAGUGCUCACUCCUUCAUUAGGCUAUAGGUUCAGUCGCAGUAGAGACCCAACACAACAGUGUGGUAGAUAAAUAAGCAGCUCCUUGAUCUCUGAUAUAAUCAUCUGGUUAAGGACUGUAGUCCAGGGCUGGUUUGGUGGUUCGCAUGUCAGGGAGCCAGGCGCCUUCUAUUUGACGGCUCCACCAUUCUGGGGUGUCGCCCUCAUCCACGUGAGGUCUUUGUGCUGUUCACAGGUUGAGGUCUUCAUUUCCCUUGGCCCUGCAAGCUGGAACCCUACACAGCGGGCGCCAAACCUUCUCCAACACUAGCCUUGAACACACAAAGCUCCGCCUUGAAGCCCCAUUCCCACUUCGGCUUCAGGCCUCCAGGACUUUAACUCUUGAAGGAGUGUGCUCCCCUCCCCAUCCCCCAGGUCUCAACAACAUCUCCUCCCCACUAGGACCUCAGGAGCCAGAGCUGGUCGUGCCUGGCGCUCCCCAGGACUGAGAGGCCCUGACUUCCAUGGGGGCGGCUGGCUGCCAGCCGGCGUGAGCCUUCGGGACUCCAAGGAAAGUGGUAAAAUAGCUGUGGAAUAUAGACCCUGUGAAGAGAUUACAGAUGCCAGAACCGAAGAGGAGCUACAGGAUUUAAUUCAAGUAUGUGGAGAUUAGAGCUCGAGGAUUCCACAGCCAGUGUAGCCAUAAUUUAAAGCAGCCGGCAGGAUUUGUAAGACUUGGGCACGUACAGUUAGCUCUAUCAUCCUUUGGGAAAUGUACAACUCUGAAACUGCUUUUGAGUGCAGAGAAUCUCUGGGGCUUUUCCUGAAGUCCUGGCCCUUGGCUCUGACCCCUGAUUUCAAAUUUGGAGAGCAAAUUGCAUCAGAAUACUCCUACUGUUGUGGACAUAGGAGAGGACACAGCCUUUUAGAGCUCCCCUCCAACAGAAUCUCAAGGAUUUGGGAACAGAGUAACUCUGGCCUUAAGUGAGAUUAUGCUACAGUGUUUGAAAACCAUUAUGCCUUUCAAAUAAGGUGUAUUACCCAGAUGUCAGCAUCUCAUACAUACCUUGUAUGAAAUAUUUUGCUGAAGAACUUUUCUGUAAAUCACUUAUAUCAAUGCCCUGAAUUAGGGAUUAAGUUGCCAAAGUAAUUUCUAAAAGAAGAUAUUAAUAUACUGCAUAUAGAAUGUUUUAAAAAAAAGGAGAAAAGGAUGUGUUUCAUGUCAUUGAAAACUUAAUUUGGGGCUAGAUUUCUGAUUAUUUAACUCACUCCAAAGCUGCAAAGUUUGUUUGUUUUGAAGGGAAGAGUGGAGAAAGGAAAGAUGGUUACUUUCUGAAAAAGUAUUUGAAGUUUUUUUUGUGUGCAAAAGAAUUAUUUUAAUUCAAUUUAAAUCAAGCCAGUCAAGGAAACUUCAGACUUAUCCAAGUUUACACUUUAAGAAGUCUAGCUUCCUGUGAAACGUGAAAGAGAUUCCGUAUUGAUGCUAAAGGUUUCAGAAACCUGAUUGGAACAACAGAUCCAUUCCUAAAUAAGGCCAGUCUUGGAAUCCGUUCCAUUUAAAAACCAUUACUAUGUGCUAGACGCUGGGAAUAAGAUAAAACCCUUCUCUCUUAGGGUUUGCGUGUUAGAGCUUGUGCCAGACCAUAAACAAGGACUCAAAUAAAAGAUUGUAAAAAGGGCUGUGAAGGAUGUAAACUGUUGCAAACCACGUGGCUAGUUACAGUAUUUCAAGAAAAUUGUUUAACAUGCUAACUUGAACAUCCUAAGUGCCUCCUCCAUGUGCACACACAGGGUCAGACCUCUAAAAAGUGGUGGUGUUACUUUUUCUAGACUGAUGGCUGUGUUGAAUCAAGGUGGGAGGGGGAGGUUUUCCCAUGCCAGCGUAAAUAGAGGGCUAUUCUCUUGGUUUCAGACCCUCAUUCCCAGAAUGAAAUGCUCACCUGCCCCCUCAACCUCCACCCGAAACCCCUCCUACAGAAAUCUUGGAGACAUCACUGAGUCAGUGGUAGGAAGCCUCCUAACAGAGUGGCGACUCAAUGCUCAGACAUGCGUAUUGAGAAUGUAGAGGAAAUGGCAACAUUUUAGAAUAAGUCACUGUAAAAUGUGUUCCCUUCCCCACUGCCCUGCCUGGUGCUUAUUCUGCAGGUCAGCUACUUUUCUUGGAAGCAGGAUGGCCCAGGGGAGGAAGAAUGUCUCUCGGAUUUAAGCUUUGAAGAGGCCGAGUUCAAACCGCCAGAAUUGGACUAGCGUUUUUUAAUUUCCCGGGAUGCCGGGUCCUGUGGCGUCCU
This is a long non-coding RNA of Mirounga angustirostris (Northern elephant seal), 2579 nucleotides long. RefSeq lists it as uncharacterized. The record is from RefSeq and is a predicted model, not a curated record. NCBI's taxonomy places the organism in Eukaryota, Metazoa, Chordata, Mammalia, Carnivora, Phocidae. The transcript is spliced from 2 exons.